Molecule: ribosomal RNA, 253 nt
Filed under: uncultured bacterium
Lineage: Bacteria
Description: partial 16S ribosomal RNA
Rfam family: Bacterial small subunit ribosomal RNA
Source: RNAcentral
UACGUAGGGUGCGAGCGUUAAUCGGAAUUACUGGGCGUAAAGCGUGCGCAGGCGGUUCGUUGUGUCCGAUGUGAAAGCCCCGGGCUUAACCUGGGAAUGGCAUUGGAAACUGGCAAGCUUGAGUGCGGCAGAGGGGGGUGGAAUUCCGCGUGUAGCAGUGAAAUGCGUAGAGAUGCGGAGGAACACCGAUGGCGAAGGCAGCCCCCUGGGUCGACACUGACGCUCAGGCACGAAAGCGUGGGGAGCAAACAGG